RNAcentral lists this transfer RNA (70 nucleotides) under Benthalbella linguidens (longfin pearleye). RNAcentral describes it as "tRNA-His". It matches the Rfam family "tRNA". Rfam says of the family: Transfer RNA (tRNA) molecules are approximately 80 nucleotides in length. Their secondary structure includes four short double-helical elements and three loops (D, anti-codon, and T loops). Further hydrogen bonds mediate the characteristic L-shaped molecular structure. tRNAs have two regions of fundamental functional importance: the anti-codon, which is responsible for specific mRNA codon recognition, and the 3' end, to which the tRNAs corresponding amino acid is attached (by aminoacyl-tRNA synthetases). tRNAs cope with the degeneracy of the genetic code in two manners: having more than one tRNA (with a specific anti-codon) for a particular amino acid; and 'wobble' base-pairing, i.e. permitting non-standard base-pairing at the 3rd anti-codon position. Lineage: Eukaryota; Metazoa; Chordata; Actinopteri; Aulopiformes; Scopelarchidae. The record is from RNAcentral.
GUGAGUAUAGUUUAAGUUAAGAUGUUGGAUUGUGAUUCUAAAGAUAGAGGUUAAAGUCCACUUACCCACC